UACAUGGGGUGCAAACGUUGCUCGGAAUUAUUGGGCGUAAAGCGCGCGUAGGCGGUUACUUAAGUCGGAUGUGAAAGCCCUCGGCUUAACUGAGGAAGUGCACCCGAAACUGAGUAGCUAGAGUACGAAAGAGGGUCGCGGAAUUCCCGGUGUAGAGGUGAAAUUCGUAGAUAUCGGGAGGAACACCGGUGGCGAAGGCGGCGACCUGGGUCGAGACUGACGCUGAGGCGCGAAAGCUAGGGGAGCAAACGGG
RNAcentral lists this ribosomal RNA (253 nucleotides) under uncultured bacterium. RNAcentral's name for it is "partial 16S ribosomal RNA". It matches the Rfam family "Bacterial small subunit ribosomal RNA", at positions 524 to 776 of the family's 1533-position model. The record is from RNAcentral.